This 1506-nucleotide long non-coding RNA is filed under the name Equus caballus (horse). RNAcentral describes it as "lncRNA (ENSECAG00000051154.1)". The record is from RNAcentral. Lineage: Eukaryota; Metazoa; Chordata; Mammalia; Perissodactyla; Equidae.
AGACUACACCUCACAGUGUUGUGCGCACAGCAGAUGCUCAAUAAAGAUUAGUUAAUUGAAUCACUUCUGAUAAUGUCAUGUUUGCAUUAUUUUUUGAGAUACAAAACAGCCCAUUCUGUCGUGAUUUUCUUAAGUGAGAAGUCAAACAUUUUGAGAAAAUGAAAUUUUUAUUACACAUUUAAAAAUUAUUAUUAUUAGCAAACAUUUCUUAAAUGCCAGACACUGCUAUGCAUUUUACAUAAAUUAUCUCAUUUGGCCCUGGUGUGGUAGAUAGUCUUCAAAGAUGGCUGCCACCAAGUCCCCUCUUCCCUGUGUGAACAUGCCACUCCUCCUACCAAGAGGUGGGGUCCAUUUCCCCUCCUCCGGCACCUGGUCUGGCCAUGUGACUUGCUUUGACCAAUAGACUGAGGUGGAAAUGACACUGUGUCAGUCCUGGGUCUAGCUCUUCAGAGACCCAGUAGCUUCCACUUUCGCUCUGAGGAAGCCACGAGGCACACGGUAAGCAGCUCGGGCUGGAUUGCUGAGUAAUGAGAGAGCACGUGGAGAGAGAGGCCCCCCCCCCCCCCCCCCCCGGGAGGAGCUCGGAGGCAGCUGACCUCUGAGUGACGCCUUCUUGCACCUCCCAGCUGAGCCAAAUGGCAAGCUAAAGGCAGCUGUGAGAGUGGCCCCAGCUGAUGCCAUAUGAGGCAGAAGAACCACCCUUCCUGAAUUGCUGACCUGCAGAAUUAUAAGAAAUAAAACUGCUGUUCUAAGUCACUGUUUUAGGGUGGUUGCUGCAAUGAUUAAUGGCAACACCUGAUACCAACCUUAAACUCCUUAAGAAGAUGAAGGGAGGCAUCACAGUUGUCAUUUCUACCACUGCUGGUGAUAUGCUCCAAGGAGUCUGGGAUGCAAGACGAUUGGAUUUACAUGUGCCGUGUGACAUGAAGCUGGGUUUUUCAGAGAUGGCUGUAUCAAAUCAGUGUCUCCCGCUCCACGUGCUCUUCUGCAGUGUGAACUUGCCAUUCCCCCAGCAGUAGUGGAGUCUACUUCUCCACUCCUUCAGCCGAGAAGGACUCCAGCCUGCUUUGAUCACUAUCCUGUGGUAGAAAUGAUCCACUGCCCGUUCUUGGCGUAGCCCUGGAUUGGCCUGGCUUCUUCCACUUCUUGCCUCUUGGAAGCCAGCCGCCAUGUAAGAAAUGCAGCUACCCUGAGACCACCAGGCUGUAAGAAGGUCAAGCUACAUGCGCAGACCCUGAAAGAUGAGACACGACAUGGGGAGAGAGAGCCCAAGGAGCAUGGAGCAGGCCAGAUGUGAGUGAAAAGCCCUACUGGAAGUGAGUCGUCCAGCUGUCCCAGACGCAUCACGUAAAACAGGUAAACCACUCAGCCAGGCCCUCCGAAAUUCCUGCAAGAUCAUGAGUGAAAUAAAUGGUUGUUAUAAGCCAUUAUGUGUUGGGGCAUUUUUUUCCCUAGCUCUAGAAAACCAGAACACUCAAUAAUAAAUAUUUGAAAAUGAGCAGCAAU